This 501-nucleotide ribosomal RNA is filed under the name uncultured bacterium. RNAcentral's name for it is "partial 16S ribosomal RNA". It matches the Rfam family "Bacterial small subunit ribosomal RNA", at positions 29 to 523 of the family's 1533-position model. The record is from RNAcentral.
AUUGAACGCUGGCGGCAUGCCUUACACAUGCAAGUCGAACGGCAGCACGGGUGCUUGCACCUGGUGGCGAGUGGCGAACGGGUGAGUAAUACAUCGGCACGUACCUUAUCGUGGGGGAUAACGCAGCGAAAGCUGUGCUAAUACCGCAUACGCCCUGAGGGGGAAAGCGGGGGAUCGCAAGACCUCGCGCGAUUAGAGCGGCCGAUGCCUGAUUAGCUUGUUGGUGGGGUAAAAGCCCACCAAGGCGACGAUCAGUAGCUGGUCUGAGAGGACGAUCAGCCACACUGGGACUGAGACACGGCCCAGACUCCUACGGGAGGCAGCAGUGGGGAAUUUUGGACAAUGGGGGCGACCCUGAUCCAGCAAUGCCGCGUGAGUGAAGAAGGCCUUCGGGUUGUAAAGCUCUUUUGUCAGGGAAGAAACACCGGCUCUAACACAGUCCGGGAAUGACGGUACCUGAAGAAUAAGCACCGGCUAACUACGUGCCAGCCGCCGCGGUAA